CAUGCAAGUCGAACGGAAAGGCCCUUUCGGGGGUACUCGAGUGGCGAACGGGUGAGUAACACGUGGGUGAUCUGCCCUGCACUUUGGGAUAAGCCUGGGAAACUGGGUCUAAUACCGGAUAGGACUACGCGAUGCAUGUCGUGUGGUGGAAAGCUUUUGCGGUGUGGGAUGGGCCCGCGGCCUAUCAGCUUGUUGGUGGGGUGAUGGCCUACCAAGGCGACGACGGGUAGCCGGCCUGAGAGGGUGACCGGCCACACUGGGACUGAGAUACGGCCCAGACUCCUACGGGAGGCAGCAGUGGGGAAUAUUGCACAAUGGGCGCAAGCCUGAUGCAGCGACGCCGCGUGAGGGAUGACGGCCUUCGGGUUGUAAACCUCUUUCAGCAGGGACGAAGCGCAAGUGACGGUACCUGUAGAAGAAGGACCGGCCAACUACGUGCCAGCAGCCGCGGUAAUACGUAGGGUCCGAGCGUUGUCCGGAAUUACUGGGCGUAAAGAGCUCGUAGGUGGUUUGUCGCGUUGUUCAUGAAAACUCACA
Molecule: ribosomal RNA, 537 nt
Filed under: uncultured Mycobacterium sp.
Lineage: Bacteria; Bacillati; Actinomycetota; Actinomycetes; Mycobacteriales; Mycobacteriaceae
Description: bacterial SSU rRNA
Rfam family: Bacterial small subunit ribosomal RNA
Source: RNAcentral